This 465-nucleotide ribosomal RNA is filed under the name uncultured Klebsiella sp. Its description in RNAcentral is "bacterial SSU rRNA". It matches the Rfam family "Bacterial small subunit ribosomal RNA", at positions 338 to 795 of the family's 1533-position model. The record is from RNAcentral. Lineage: Bacteria; Pseudomonadati; Pseudomonadota; Gammaproteobacteria; Enterobacterales; Enterobacteriaceae.
CCUACGGGAGGCUGCAGUGGGGAAUAUUGCACAAUGGGCGCAAGCCUGAUGCAGCCAUGCCGCGUGUGUGAAGAAGGCCUUCGGGUUGUAAAGCACUUUCAGCGGGGAGGAAGGCGGUGAGGUUAAUAACCUCAUCGAUUGACGUUACCCGCAGAAGAAGCACCGGCUAACUCCGUGCCAGCAGCCGCGGUAAUACGGAGGGUGCAAGCGUUAAUCGGAAUUACUGGGCGUAAAGCGCACGCAGGCGGUCUGUCAAGUCGGAUGUGAAAUCCCCGGGCUCAACCUGGGAACUGCAUUCGAAACUGGCGGGCUAGAGUCUUGUAGAGGGGGGUAGAAUGCCAGGUGUAGCGGUGGAAUGCGUAGAGAUCUGGAGGAAUACCGGUGGCGAAGGCGGCCCCCUGGACAAAGACUGACGCUCAGGUGCGAAAGCGUGGGGAGCAAACAGGAUUAGAUACCCGAGUAGUC